UGCCAGCAGCCGCCGGUAAUACAGAGAGUGCAAGCGUUAAUCGGAUUUACUGGGCGUAAAGCGCGCGUAGGCGGAUUUUUAAGUCGGAUGUGAAAGCCCUGGGCUCAACCUGGGAACUGCAUUCGAUACUGGGAGUCUAGAGUAUGGUAGAGGGAAGUGGAAUUUCCGGAGUAGCGGUGAAAUGCGUAGAUAUCGGAAAGAACAUCAGUGGCGAAGGCGACUUCCUGGACCAAUACUGACGCUGAGGCGCGAAAGCGUGGGUAGCAAGCAGGAUUAGAUA
This 280-nucleotide ribosomal RNA is filed under the name uncultured bacterium. Its description in RNAcentral is "partial 16S ribosomal RNA". It matches the Rfam family "Bacterial small subunit ribosomal RNA", at positions 506 to 784 of the family's 1533-position model. The record is from RNAcentral.